CCUACGGGUGGCAGCAGUAGGGAAUUUUCGUCAAUGGGCGCAAGCCUGAACGAGCGAUGCCGCGUGAGUGAAGAAGGCCUUCGGGUCGUAAAGCUCUGUUGCGGGGGAAAAAAGGCAGCAUCAGGAAAUGGGUGCUGACUGAUGGUGCCCCGCCAGAAAGUCACGGCUAACUACGUGCCAGCAGCCGCGGUAAUACGUAGGUGGCGAGCGUUAUCCGGAUUUAUUGGGUUUAAAGGGUGCGCAGGCGGAUUUUUAAGUCAGCGGUCAAAUCGUGGGGCUCAACCCCAUCCAGCCGUUGAAACUGGGGAUCUAGAGUGUGCGAGAGGUAUGCGGAAUGCGUGGUGUAGCGGUGAAAUGCAUAGAUAUCUGGAGGAACAUCAGUGGCGAAGGCGACUAUCUGGCACAUAACUGACGCUGAGGAGCGAAAGCGUGGGUAGCAAACAGGAUUAGAUACCCGAGUAGUC
RNAcentral lists this ribosomal RNA (464 nucleotides) under uncultured bacterium. Its description in RNAcentral is "partial 16S ribosomal RNA". It matches the Rfam family "Bacterial small subunit ribosomal RNA", at positions 338 to 795 of the family's 1533-position model. The record is from RNAcentral.